UCAGGUGAUCCUCCCAUCUCAGCCUCCCAAGUAGCUGGGACUACAGGUUGCUUCUUCCAGAUCCCUUUUGAUCUAUUUUCAGCUAUGGAUUCAUGAGAAUCAAGACUAAGCAGCCUGAAUUGAAGGAGUAACAGUAUCACCUAACAAUGAUUUUGCUGCCAUAGUAGCUGUUUGUAUACUGGCCAUAUGCCUAGGUAAAAUGAGGCCAGAUCACUCUCAGAGUUUUCUAUCAGAGUUGGUGGCGAACUACUGCUCACUGAUAAUGAGGUGAAACCCCAGCUGAGGAGGCAAAUAUACUCAAGGAAAGUAAUAGUUUCCAAAUGCCUGGCAGUGCCAGGAAGGGGCCAUGUCCAUGGACCACUAUGUAAGGAUAUCUCAGUCUCUAGUCCAGCGUGGUUUAUGGUGCCAAAUAAGUGCCAGGUGAACUCACUACAUCUGACAAAAUCUCAAGGAACCAAGUUUACCAGAUAAUAUUUAUGAUUAUGUGAAAAAGACUGAGGAAAUCACUCAAGUGAUCCAUCAUACAGCACCUCCAGUUCCAAAGAAUACUGACUUACUUCAGGUGAUAACACUCUACCAUUUUUAAGUUUUUCAUCCACACUGUGUCUUCGUUUCUGGAGCUGAUCCUUUUCUUUCUGGAGGACUUCAACUUGUUCUGAAAUCUUUGUUUUCUCCUCAGCUGUACUGGUCUGGAGCUGCACAUUCUUUUCAGACAACUCUUGUUCCAGUAAGUUCAGGUGACUCUUCUCCUGUAACAGAGCCUCCUUCUUAGAAACUAUGGCCUCCCGUUUCUUUAAGUCUGCUUCCAGCUCCUCUAAUUCUUGGCGUUGGU
Molecule: non-coding RNA, 832 nt
Filed under: Pan troglodytes (chimpanzee)
Lineage: Eukaryota; Metazoa; Chordata; Mammalia; Primates; Hominidae
Source: RNAcentral